Bison bison bison is the source of this 102-nucleotide small nuclear RNA. The record is from Ensembl. Lineage: Eukaryota; Metazoa; Chordata; Mammalia; Artiodactyla; Bovidae.
GUGCCCACUUUGGCAACGCACAUACUAAAAUUGGAACAAUGCAGAGAUUAGCCUGGCCUCUGCAAGAAUGACACGUAAAUUCGUGAACCGUUCCAUAAUUUU